GUCCACGCCCUAAACGAUGUCGACUGGUUGUUGGGGUUUGACACUCUCAGUAACGAAGCUAACGCGUGAAGUCGACCGCCUGGGGAGUACGGCCGCAAGGUUAAAACUCAAAGGAAUUGACGGGGACCCGCACAAGCGGUGGAUUAUGUGGAUUAAUUCGAUGCAACGCGAAAACCUUACCUACCCUUGACAUGUCCUGGAGGCCGAAGAGAUUCGGUUGUGCCCGAAAGGGAACGGGAACACAGGUGCUGCAUGGCUGUCGU
RNAcentral lists this ribosomal RNA (263 nucleotides) under uncultured bacterium. RNAcentral's name for it is "partial 16S ribosomal RNA". It matches the Rfam family "Bacterial small subunit ribosomal RNA", at positions 793 to 1055 of the family's 1533-position model. The record is from RNAcentral.